UGAAUGGCUCUCGGCAACGGAUAUCUCGGCCCUCGCAUCGAUGAAGAACGUAGCAAAAUGCGAUACGUGGUGUGAAUUGCAGAAUCCCGCGAACCAUUGAGUCUUUGAACGCAAGUUGCGCCCGAGGCCUUCCGGCCGAGGGCACGCCUGCCUGGGCGUCACAC
This 164-nucleotide ribosomal RNA is filed under the name Goeppertia micans. RNAcentral's name for it is "5.8S ribosomal RNA". It matches the Rfam family "5.8S ribosomal RNA". From Rfam's summary of the family: 5.8S ribosomal RNA (5.8S rRNA) is a component of the large subunit of the eukaryotic ribosome. The record is from RNAcentral. Lineage: Eukaryota; Viridiplantae; Streptophyta; Magnoliopsida; Zingiberales; Marantaceae.